Non-coding RNA from Pelodiscus sinensis (Chinese soft-shelled turtle), 401 nucleotides. The record is from RefSeq and is a predicted model, not a curated record. NCBI's taxonomy places the organism in Eukaryota, Metazoa, Chordata, Testudines, Trionychidae.
GAGUGGCUGCACAAGUGCCUACCUGACAGGGAGCACUGCUACUGGGUUCUGCUUUUAUUGUUGCUGGAAGGAGCAGAACCACAGGCACAGAGGAUGGGUCAGGCUUGAGAUAAUCAUGGUUGCUUUUUCAUACAAGGCCCCUCAACCUCUGUAGGCAGCUUGUCCACGCUGCAGGAGAAUCUGGGUCACUGUGUCUUCAUGGACCAUUCCAAGAGGAAGUAUUUUUCCGAUGAACUUUUGUCUGAACUUCUGGACAGGGCAACAACCAGGCCCAGCACCAAAGAGAGAGGGGCUUAUGGCUAGAGGAAAGGUUUGGAAUCCUUCACUGCCACUAUUACAAAUUACGCCUGGUUCUUCUGAGUACAAACAGCAGAAAUUUUAAUAAAACGUUUCAAUUACUG